ACGAACACUAGGUCUGUCCCUUGUCAUAGGCAUACACUUUACUUUAGCCGUCCUCGUGACCGGAUCACCAGUUUUCGGAAGACUGGGAAUAAAAAGGACAAGCCCCUGAUUCAGCACUCCACAGACCCCCUGUCCACUCAGGUAGAGAUGCCCAUGCCCCAGCCCCUCUUCGACGACCGCUCCAUGAACCUCUCCGAGAAGGAGAUCAAUGACCUCUUUGAGAAGAUGAUGGAGGACAUGAACCUGAAUGAGGAGCGUAAAGCCCCCCUGCGUGGGAAGGACCUGAGCACCAAGCGAGAGAUGGUUGUCCAGUACAUCUCUGCCACCGCUAAAUCUGGAGGACUGAGGAACAGCAAGCAUGAGUGUACACUAUCAUCACAGGAGUAUGUCCACGAGCUGCGCUCUGGCAUCACUGAUGACAAGCUGCUGAUCUGCCUGGAGUCCCUUCGUGUCUCUCUCACCAGUAACCCUGUCAGCUGGGUGAACAACUUUGGCCAUGAAGGACUGGGCCUCCUCUUGGAUGCAUUGGAUAAGUUGCUGGAUAAGAAACAGCCAGAAAGUAUAGACAAAAGGAACCAGCACAAGCUGAUCCAGUGUCUCAAGGCCUUCAUGAACAAUAAGUAUGGACUGCAAAGGAUUCUGGGAGAUGAGCGAAGCUUGCUUCUCCUGGCCAGGGCCAUUGACCCAAAACAGACCAGUAUGAUGACAGAGAUCGUCAAGAUCCUCUCAGCUAUCUGCAUCAUUGGAGAGGAAAACAUCCUGGAUAAGAUCCUGGCUGCCAUGACGAUUGCGGCGGAGAGGAAUAACAAGGAGAGAUUUUCUCCGAUAGUGGAGGGACUGGAGAAUCACGAGGCCCAACAGCUCCAGGUGGCCUGCAUGCAGCUGAUCAACGCUCUGGUCACCUCUCCAGACGAUCUGGACUUCAGGAUACAUCUGCGCAACGAGUUCCUCCGCUGUGGCCUCAAGAAGAUCCUCCCGGAGCUGAAAGAGACAGAGGAGCUGGACAUCCAACUGAAGGUGUUCAACGAGAACAAGGAGGAGGACUCCAUUGAGGUCUCCCAUCGCCUCGAUGACAUCCGCGCCGAGAUGGAAUAUCCUUUUGUGUACCAUCUCCUGUCCAACAUGGUGAAAGACACCGGGUCGGAGACCUACUUCCUGUCCAUCCUACAGCACCUCCUGCUCAUCAGGAACGACUACUACAUCAGGCCCCAGUACUACAAGGUCAUAGAGGAAUGUGUGUCUCAGGUGGUUCUCCAUCGCAGCGGGAUGGACCCAGACUUCGGAUACAGAGAGAGACUGGAUGUAGACUUCACCCACCUCAUUGAUCAGUGCGUGGAUAAAGCCAAAGUGGAUGAGAGCGAACUGAAGGCUGCUGAGUUCUCCAAAAAGGUGAGGUAUAGUGCAUCAUUCCCCUCAACUCCAUUGGUAUGCCACCACCACGCUCCCAUCAGAAAUGUGUGUGUCCGUCGUGUCGUCACCCCCCCCAGAGCUCCUGGUCCCAUAGUGCCUCAGGAAAUGGCGGAGAAUUGCUUCUGGAUCAAAGUCAAAGAGGAGAAGUUUGAGAAUCAAGAAUUCUUUGAACAGCUCUCCCUCAGCUUUUCCUCCAGGACCAAAGUGAAAAAUGAGGUGGAUGAGACAGACGCCAGGGUGACGCAAUUCAAGAAAAAGGCGAAGGAGCUGCGAAUCUUGGACGCAAAGACGGCACAGAAUUUGUCAAUUUUCCUGGGCUCAUUCCGGCUGCCUUAUGAAGAGAUCCGGGACAUUGUGCUGGAGGUGGACGAGGGGAGGCUGAGCGAAUCACUGAUCCAGAACCUGAUAAAGAACCUACCAGAACAGAAGGAGCUGAGCGCUCUGGCAGAACUGAAGAAUGAGUACGAGGAACUAUGUGAGCCUGAACAGUUUGGCAUUGUGAUGAGCUCUGUGAAGCUGCUGCGCUCACGCCUCAACGGAAUCCUUUUCAAGCUGACCUUCGAGGAGCAGGUGAACAACAUCCGUCCAGACAUCAUGAAUGUGACGUUCGCCUGCGAGGAGGUGAAGAAGAGUGACAGCUUCAGCAAGCUGCUGGAGAUGGUAUUGCUGGUGGGCAACUACAUGAACGCUGGCUCCCGGAAUGCCCAGACCUUUGGCUUCAACAUCAGCUUCCUCUGCAAGCUUCGAGACACUAAGUCGGCCGACCAAAACACAACGCUGCUCCACUUCCUGGCUGAGAAGUGUGAAGAAAAGUACCCGGAGAUCCUGAGGUUCCCUGAAGAGCUGCAGCACGUGGAGAGUGCUAGCAAAGUUUCUGCCGAGAUCCUGAAGAGCAGUCUCAGCACCAUGGAGAGACACAUCCAGAGGCUAGAAAAUGACAUUGAGAACUUCCCAAAGACGGACGACAAAAAGGAUAAGUUUGUGGAAAAAUUAUCCAUAUCCUUUUCAUGCUUUUUAUUAAUUUCUCACAUUGUCUUAAAUGAACGUAUCGCUGAAGUAGAAAGUAGACAUGUUUUGGCCAUUUGCCGCCUGUGGAUUGUCCACCAGAGAGACUGUGCUGUGCUUGUGUUCUCCCGGGCAGGAAAGAGUAGUUAACGGCCAUAAGUGUGGCUUGUGGCACCCGUGGGCUUAAAGGAAUGGAUAUGGCUGCCUUCCCACUAGUGAGAUGUUUAUCAGAUCUCCUCCUCCUCUACCCAACGUUCCCCAGAGAGAGUUCAGGCCUUGAGCUAUUUUUACCGCUGCUCCACCACUGCCUCCCCUCGGGGUCUCUAAUGAGGGCUCGUUCCCCCACGCGGACUUAUCGCCCACCUCCUGAUUUCAUCUCCCAACCAGCCACAGGCCUCUCCACAUAGACUUUCUGUGGACUAUCACCUUGUGCGGCUCUUCUCUCGUUUUGAUAACAGAGUGCUUUCACUUAAACUCAAGCGGUUCGGCUCUCGAAUCAAAUUAGUGAUGCCUGAGCACUUCUCAGACUCCAUUUUAAGGAGGAAGGAGCCUCGGCAGAAUAGGUUUGUCUAGUAAUCUGGCACCUACAGUACAGACACUACAGUAUAUAGAGUCUCAUUGGUUGAAACCAACUCGGAUGGCAAUAGCUAGGGGCUAUGAUACCUCCUAUCAAUAUAUUUGUAUUAAAACAGACAGCAUUCCUCUGUUUUUUUUUAAAUGGAACCUUUAUUUAACUAAGCAAGUCAGUUAAGAACAAAUUCUUAUUUACAAUGAUGGCUUACCUUGUUCAGGGGCAGAACGACAGAUUUUUACCUUGCGCUCUAACCACUAGGCUACCUGUCUUUAGGUGUGCGUUACCACAUUUAAUAAGGGAAAGCAAGAAUCAUUCAAGGGUAAUUCAUCAAUUCAGGAGGCAUUCCAUAUGUUCAACACUCACACUUGAAGACAUGUUCCGGAACUUUAGCUGCUACUAAGUAUUUUUUAAACCUCCCGCUUUGGGCUGGAUGUGUCAAUGUGUAGUUCAUACAUGCAUAAUCUAUGACCAGAUUUACUUUAUAUCCUAAAUUAGCCAGCAAAUCCUUAGUUUGAAAGCAACAGUUUUACUGGAAGCUGUGCUUGCCCGCACAUGGGCCAGCCCCCUAACAAUUUGACCAUGAGCUUCAGCCCCUUGCUAUAUGUGUGACAGCUAGCAAGGUGCACAUGAUGCACCCACACCACACCCGAGCAGAGAGAGAGAACAGAGUGGUGCACAUAUCUGUUCAAGUUUCAGGGACCCCUUGAGCGCUACUUUCAAAACUACUGGCUAAAAAGUACACACAAUUUCCGGAGAAUCCCUUUAAGAAAGUGUUUAACCUUAAUUUGAGCUCUUUGUUAGCUUGCAAUUUUUUUUUAGCUUUUAGCUGACAUAAGAGUUAUAGCUGCCUAACACAUCAGAAAUCUGCUCCUAGGCAAAGAUUGGCACUUAAUCUGUGUACAUUUUAUAUCUUUAAAAAAUAGAGGCUUCGGCAAAAACCUCCCCUGCAGCUCUGAACCAAGACAGGGAGGAAAGGCAGCUCAGGGCCCCUGAUGUCUGUAUCGAUUCUGGGGCUCCAUGGAGGAUGUCGGCUUGACUGAGAGGAAAUGGAGAGCUGCAUAUAUACUGGAGUAGUGCUCCCCCUCACUGUCUGAAUCGUGUCCCCAGAGAGUGAGAGGGAGAGAAGCUGCCUGGCCAUGAAUGGAAACGCCCCACUUCCCCGUCUCACCUGAUCUGGCAUCAGAGCUGAAAUGGAGCCUCAGUCGUAUUUGGCCGAACCAAUUUUAGUUAAUGCCUCAUUGUGAAAAAAGCAAAGACAAACAUUUAAAAAUGGUUUUUUUACCUCCAUUUUGUAGUCUUCCAACCUCCUUCCACUCUGUGUUCAGCCAGGUUAAGGGUGACACAGCUGCACUCACUCCUUUGCGCGUGACAGAGUAGGCAUUCUUACCUUACUAUAGAAAGCCAGAAAGAUGUUUUACUGUCCCUUUAUGGCGCCCACGAUCGAUGAGGGGAGUCGAGGUGAUUCAAGUGGUAAGGUGGAGAGUGUAUCGGUGUCUAUCAGACCUCUCUCAUGCUGUCUGUGUCUGUCUCUCCCCGUUAGUAAUCACCUCUCUCUGUGUCUCUGUCUCUCCCCGUCAGCAAUCACCUCUCUCUGCGUCUCUGUCUCUCCCAGUUAGCAAUCCCCUCUCUGUGUCUCUGUCUCUCCCCGAUAGCAAUCACGUCUCUCUGCGUCUCCCCGUUAACAAUCACCUCUCUCAUGCUGUCUGUGUCUCUGUCUCUCCCCGUUUGCAAUCACCUCUCUCUGGGUCUCUUCCCGUUAGUUAACCCCUCUCUCUGUGUCUUUGUCUCUCCCUGUUUGCAAUCACCUCUCUCUGUGUCUCUCUCUCCCUGUUCGCAAUCACUUCUCUCAUGCUGUCUGUGUCUCUGUCUCUCCUCGUUAGUAAACACCUCUCUCUGUGUCUCUGUCUCUCCCCAUUAGCAAUCACCUUUCUCUGCAUCUCUGUCUCUCCCCGUUAGCAAUCACCUGUCUCUGCGUCUCUGUCUCUCCCCGUUAGCAAUCACCUGUCUCUGCGUCUCUGUCUCUCCCCGUUAGCAAUCACCUCUCUCUGCGUCUCUGUCUCUCCUUGUUAGCAAUCACCUCUCUCUGUGUCUUUGUCUCUCCCUGUUAGCGAUCACCUCUCUGUGUCUUUGUCUCUCCCCGUUAGCAAUCACCUCUCUCUGUGUCUUUGUCUCUCCCCGUUAGCAAUCACCUCUCUCUGUGUCUCUGUCUCUCCCUGUUCGCAAUCACUUCUCUCAGGCUGUCUGUGUCUCUGUCUCUCCUCAUUAGUAAACACCUGGAGAGCGUAUCGGUGUCUAUCAGACCUCUCUCAUGCUGUCUGUGUCUGUCUCUCCCCGUUAGUAAACACCCCUCUCUGUGUCUCUGUCUCUCCCCGUUAGCAAUCACCUCUCUCUGUGUCUUUGUAUCUCCCUGCUCGCAAUCACCUCUCUCUGCGUCUCUGUCUCUCCCCGUUAGCAAUCACCUCUCUCUGUGUCUUUGUCUCUCCCCGUUAGCAAUCACCUCUCUCAUGCUGUCUCUGUCUCUGUCUCUCCUCAUUAGUAAACACCUGUCUCUGUGUCUUUGUCUCUCCCCGUUAGCAAUCACCUCUCUCUGUGUCUUUGUCUCUCCCCAUUAGCAAUCACCUCUCUUUCUCUCACUCACUAGAGUGGGUUUGACCUGCGUGUGACCUUUUUCUUGGUAAUGAAGUAAUGCAGUUCAUCUGCUAGUCAAAAUAACAAGGUGUUUGGUAAACAUGGCUCUUCUGUGACCCUGCUCGAAUCAAUUCACAUGAUUAGGCAUCAAGGGUAAUUCGCAAGUUUUCUAAAUAAAAUAUGCUGUGUGUUCGGACUUGAAUUUCUU
This 5825-nucleotide long non-coding RNA is filed under the name Salmo trutta (river trout). RNAcentral describes it as "lncRNA (ENSSTUG00000012414.1)". Lineage: Eukaryota; Metazoa; Chordata; Actinopteri; Salmoniformes; Salmonidae. The record is from RNAcentral.